CCCGACUAGUGCUGAACGUGAUCCAGAACGUGUGGAAUGUGGAAUAUCCCGGCAGUGCUUCGGAGCAGAGUGCUGUUGGAGAUCUAGAGGCCAGGCUGAUGUUUUUUUCUGGGCAAGGAAGAGCUACAGGGGCUUUAUUCUAUGGAACAAACAGUACAUUCAUGGCUCAGACAUGAAAAGUUGCCACCAAUUUUCCAUGGCUCUUUGGCAACUUAUUUACUAAAAUUUGUUCUUCAAUUUUCCUACCUUUAAACAGAGGCUAGUAGUGCUAAAUUUA
Long non-coding RNA from Cyanistes caeruleus (blue tit), 277 nucleotides. RefSeq lists it as uncharacterized. Lineage: Eukaryota; Metazoa; Chordata; Aves; Passeriformes; Paridae. The record is from RefSeq and is a predicted model, not a curated record.